GGUUGGAUAGCUCAGUCGGAGAGCAUGAGAUUCUUAAUCUCAGAGCAAUGGGUUCAAGCCCCACAUUGGGCA
Podarcis lilfordi (Lilford's wall lizard) is the source of this 72-nucleotide non-coding RNA. The record is from the annotation of a GenBank genome assembly. NCBI's taxonomy places the organism in Eukaryota, Metazoa, Chordata, Lepidosauria, Squamata, Lacertidae.